CCUCGGGGGGCAGCAGUAGGGAAUCUUCGGCAAUGGGCGAAAGCCUGACCGAGCAACGCCGCGUGAAUGAAGAAGGCCUUCGGGUUGUAAAAUUCUGUUAUAAGGGAAGAAAGGUGAUAGGAGGAAAUGACUAUCAAUUGACGGUACCUUAUGAGAAAGCCACGGCUAACUACGUGCCAGCAGCCGCGGUAAUACGGAGGAUGCGAGCGUUAUCCGGAUUUAUUGGGUUUAAAGGGUGCGCAGGCGGAAGAUCAAGUCAGCGGUAAAAUUGAGAGGCUCAACCUCUUCGAGCCGUUGAAACUGGU
This 305-nucleotide ribosomal RNA is filed under the name uncultured bacterium. RNAcentral describes it as "bacterial SSU rRNA". It matches the Rfam family "Bacterial small subunit ribosomal RNA", at positions 339 to 637 of the family's 1533-position model. The record is from RNAcentral.